RNAcentral lists this long non-coding RNA (522 nucleotides) under Vigna radiata. Its description in RNAcentral is "long non-coding RNA (VRAD_LNC013583)". Lineage: Eukaryota; Viridiplantae; Streptophyta; Magnoliopsida; Fabales; Fabaceae. The record is from RNAcentral.
AAGUAUUUUCCUUUAUACAGCCUUCAUUGUGCAAGAUUAGAGGAACUAAUUAUGCAAACAAAAACAUCUUUAAAUUGUCCCAUCUCUAUGUUAAGCACAUGAAAGAUGAUUGAUACAAAAAAAUUACAAUUUCAUAUGAACCAUGAAAAACACUGCGUGUACUGUAUUAUAACAUCAGAACGCAGCUUAUUGAAAUCAGCACUCAAGAGAAACAAGACCAAAAUGUGAAAGGCAUGUGUUCAUAAUAAAAUCAACAAGCACAAACAAAAGAAGGAGAUGUAACAAACUGAAAGUUUUCAAAGCCUCUCUCUAGCAAUGAGAAGAGUAAGCAGAAGGGGGAAAAUUCCAGUGAUCACUGCAUGAUGGUUGUUGAGUCUACUUGCAUGACUAGAAGGUGGUUCUACAGGAGCCAAGUCAUGAUGAUGACCCUCAUGAGCAGCUACAACUGCAACCAAAACAAUGACAAGGACCAUCAAGAAUGAUAAUUUCACUUGUGAAACCAUGGUUGCAAGGUUCUCAGAU